AUUGAACGCUGGCGGCAUGCUUUACACAUGCAAGUCGAGCGGCAGCGCGGGGGCAACCCUGGCGGCGAGCGGCGAACGGGUGAGUAAUACAUCGGAACGUACCCAGGAGUGGGGGAUAGCCCGGCGAAAGCCGGAUUAAUACCGCAUACGAUCUUAGGAUGAAAGUGGGGGACCGCAAGGCCUCACGCUUUUGGAGCGGCCGAUGUCCGAUUAGCUAGUUGGUGGGGUAAAGGCCUACCAAGGCGACGAUCGGUAGCUGGUCUGAGAGGAUGAUCAGCCACACUGGGACUGAGACACGGCCCAGACUCCUACGGGAGGCAGCAGUGGGGAAUUUUGGACAAUGGGGGGAACCCUGAUCCAGCCAUGCCGCGUGCGGGAAGAAGGCCUCGGUUGUAA
This 396-nucleotide ribosomal RNA is filed under the name uncultured bacterium. Its description in RNAcentral is "bacterial SSU rRNA". It matches the Rfam family "Bacterial small subunit ribosomal RNA", at positions 29 to 428 of the family's 1533-position model. The record is from RNAcentral.